GUGAGGUACUUCGCUUGAUUAAACUUUAAUAUAAUUCAAAUUUCUGUUUAAUUGGAACUUUUUAUAAAAUCCAUUAAAUGGAAUUUAUAAAUGUUCUAGCCAAAGGAAAAGGAAGUGGAGGAGUAAAAACAGCCAAGUUAUAUGCCUGGGUAGCACUUCAGUCAUUGCCAGAAGAAAUGGUUAUCAGUCCCUGCCUAUUAGACUUUCUGGAAAAAGCUCUGGAAACUAUCCCAAUUACACCAAUUGAAAGGAAUUAUACAGCUGUCAGCUCACAAGAUGAAGAUAUGGGACAUUUUGAAAUACCAGAUCCUAUGGAAGAAUCAACAACAUCACUAGUGUCAUCUUCAACAUCUGCUUACUCUUCCUUCCCUGUAGAUGUUGUGGUUUAUGUACGAGUUCAGGUGACAUACUUCAUUUCUUUUUGUUUUAAAGAGAAAUGUUUUUCUUAAGUUAUUUGAACAUUUCAACAUUGUUACUGUUUAAAAGUUUUCUUAACCUCAGGUUCAUGAACCUUUAGUAUGUU
Molecule: small RNA, 523 nt
Filed under: Pongo abelii (Sumatran orangutan)
Lineage: Eukaryota; Metazoa; Chordata; Mammalia; Primates; Hominidae
Description: processed transcript
Source: RNAcentral